AUGCGUGCAUGGUUCCUGAGGCCAAUUAUUUGGGCCGGCCGAUCCAAAACCCGGUGGACGCAUUUGUACGUGCAUUGCACCGGAGAUGAUGGUACAAUAUCGAGUGACCGAUCUCACUGUCACGGGACAGUGGAAAAUCAUCGGGCGCGAUUGGCGAAGCUGAUUGGCUGGCUGACGGCCCCGACCGAUCCAAAUCAAAAAAAGCUGAGUGCGAAAGGGAAUUCAACGCAGCGUACCGAACAUAAGCGGCUCAGCACGAUCCCCGCCAUUUAUCUGUUGCGAACCGUGACGUGCUUGACUCACAAGACAUUAUCGCAACCUCAUUUCAGUUUUCUUUCUGCGGCGGUCAUUUCAGUUGAAAAGACGGAGGAUUUUUCUUCCGAAUCUUUUCUCGUGGAAAUAGUAGUAUUUCCUUCCGAUUCUGCGGGAAUGGUAAUCCCGGAGGAGGAUCAGCUCGCCGAUCGGGUUGCCGUGCCUGCACGACUGCGGCCGGCCGGUCGAACCGACCCCGACCCGACGCGAGCCCCGCCCGGCCGGUCCCGAUCAGUCCGUGCACCGAAUUGGGAUGGGAAUCGAUCUCCUGGUACGUACGCCACUGCACUACGUCCCCUCCCCAUCGACGCAGUUACGGCCGCGACCAGUCUUGGACGCGCGAGACAGGGACGCCAGAGACGGCGACCGACGCGGUCACGGACGCUGCGGCUCAGCCGUUCGGGUUCAGCGGACGGACGCGCGGCCGCCAGGUCCGGUGCCCCGCCCUCCAGGAUGCCUCCGGCGACCCGUGUACUACCCGUGGGUGCCGGCCGGCUGCGAUGGAUGUGGAGGGUCUUGACCACUAGGCACACCAGUGGGCAGCGGCUGCUUGCUUUGCGUAAUUGCUCGGCGUGGCCAAAGUCUCGGUGGAACGCACCUAACCAUUUCUCGCCCGGGUGUCGCCGGUCGAUGAAAGUUGCUUGA
This 957-nucleotide ribosomal RNA is filed under the name Triticum aestivum (bread wheat). Its description in RNAcentral is "partial small subunit ribosomal RNA". The record is from RNAcentral. Lineage: Eukaryota; Viridiplantae; Streptophyta; Magnoliopsida; Poales; Poaceae.